AUUGAACGCUGGCGGCAUGCCUUACACAUGCAAGUCGAACGGCAGCGGGCCUUCGGGUGCCGGCGAGUGGCGAACGGGUGAGUAAUGCAUCGGAACGUGCCAUUGAGUGGGGGAUAACGUAGCGAAAGUUACGCUAAUACCGCAUAUUCUGUGAGCAGGAAAGCAGGGGACCGCAAGGCCUUGCGCUCUUUGAGCGGCCGAUGUCAGAUUAGCUAGUUGGUGAGGUAAAGGCUUACCAAGGCGACGAUCUGUAGCGGGUCUGAGAGGAUGAUCCGCCACACUGGAACCGAGACACGGUCCUGACUCCUACGGGAGGCAGCAGUGGGGAAUUUUGGACAAUGGGCGCAAGCCUGAUCCAGCCAUGCCGCGUGAGUGAAGAAGGCC
This 384-nucleotide ribosomal RNA is filed under the name uncultured bacterium. Its description in RNAcentral is "bacterial SSU rRNA". It matches the Rfam family "Bacterial small subunit ribosomal RNA", at positions 30 to 416 of the family's 1533-position model. The record is from RNAcentral.